Molecule: ribosomal RNA, 497 nt
Filed under: uncultured bacterium
Lineage: Bacteria
Description: partial 16S ribosomal RNA
Rfam family: Bacterial small subunit ribosomal RNA
Source: RNAcentral
GAUGAACGCUGGCGGCGUGCCUAAUACAUGCAAGUCGAGCGAACAGACGAGGAGCUUGCUCCUCUGACGUUAGCGGCGGACGGGUGAGUAACACGUGGAUAACCUACCUAUAAGACUGGGAUAACUUCGGGAAACCGGAGCUAAUACCGUAUAACAUGUUGAACCGCAUGGUUCAACAGUGAAAGACGGUCUUGCUGUCACUUAUAGAUGGAUCCGCGCCGCAUUAGCAAGUUGGUAAGGUAACGGCUUACCAAGGCAACGAUGCGUAGCCGACCUGAGAGGGUGAUCGGCCACACUGGAACUGAGACACGGUCCAGACUCCUACGGGAGGCAGCAGUAGGGAAUCUUCCGCAAUGGGCGAAAGCCUGACGGAGCAACGCCGCGUGAGUGAAGAAGGUCUUCGGAUCGUAAAACUCUGUUAUUAGGGAAGAACAAAUGUGUAAGUAACUAUGCACGUCUUGACGGUACCUAAUCAGAAAGCCACGGCUAACUACGUG